RNA transcript from Strigops habroptila (Kakapo), 3295 nucleotides. It is a transcript of the gene named WD repeat domain 91, with no coding region annotated. The record is from RefSeq and is a predicted model, not a curated record. The transcript has 15 exons. NCBI's taxonomy places the organism in Eukaryota, Metazoa, Chordata, Aves, Psittaciformes, Psittacidae.
GGGCGGUGCCGCGGGGUCCCCAUGGCGGCGGCGGCGGAGCGGACGGACGAGCUGGUGCGGGAGUAUCUGCUGUUCCGCGGCUUCACUGCCGCCCUCAAGCAGCUGGAUGCGGAGAUCAAAGCGGACCGGGAGAAGGGCUUCCGGGUGGAUAAGAUUGUGGACCAGCUGCAGCAGUUUGUUCAGAGCUAUGAUCUGGCAGCCUUGCGGGAUUACUGGAGUUAUCUGGACCGACGCCUUUUCAGCCGUUUGGAAGACGUGUACAGGCCAACAGUGAACAAGCUGAAAACCAGCUUAUUCCGAUACUACCUUGUCCAUACCGUUCAGACCGGCCGCAAUGACAAGGCCCAGGAGUUUUUCCUCAAGCAGGCCUCCGAGCUCCAGAACCAGGCAGAGUGGAAGGAUUGGUUUGUCCUGCCCUUCCUCCCUGCUCCAGACUCCAACCCCACCUUCGCCACCUAUUUCUCCCGCCAGUGGGCAGAUACGUUUAUCGUUUCUCUGCACAACUUCCUGAGCGUCUUAUUUCAGUGCAUGCCAGUUCCAGUCAUUUUGAACUUUGAAGCUGAAUGUCUUAGGAGCAGUCUUGUACAAGAAGAAAAUGAAUCCUUGCGGCAUAAGCUGUUUGCUUUGCAGGCUGAAUCCUCCCGCAUGAAGAAAGAAGAAGUGGAGGUGGAACAAGCAGUCAUGCAUCACAAGUUGCCUGCAUAUGUGGCCAACAUGGAUCGACUAGGGGACUCUGAGCUCGAUAUGACCUGCAGUCAGAGGAGUACUGCGCAUUCUCUCCAGUCCCGGGGAGGCUUUCUGUCCUCUUUUCUUUCCCAAAGUAAAAAGAGCCCUUCCAGACCAGCACAUCCAAGUGGGGCUUCUCCAACACAGACUGGCAGUAUGCUGCUAGGAAAGAAAGAAUCAACAAAUCAUCAGAGUGCCAAAGGAAAAGAAGGAACAGUGAGCUCUAAGGACGGGAAGAGCCAUUUCAGUGGCUUAGUAGCAGGUGAGUCAAGUUCCCUGCAGCAGCGGCAGAAGCGCUUGCAAGAGCAUGGGAAGGAAAGGAAGGAACUUCUGUCAAAAGGAACCUUCCAGGGCCAAAGUGCUGAGAAGAAAACAGAUAUUAGCACAGCUGAGACAGAGCCGUGCUCAGAGCUGCAUGCAGAGCAAACAGAGACUUCAGCCAAAAUGCCUGCCAGCAAUGCAGAGGCUGUGGGUGUCCGGCAGGAGCAGCCUUUCAUCGUUCUGAGCCAGGAGGAGUAUGGGGAGCACCAUUCAUCCAUCAUGUACUGCAGGGUUGAUUGUUCUGGACGGAGGGUGGCCAGCUUGGAUGUGGAUGGGGUCAUCAAAGUGUGGUCUUUUAACCCCAUAAUGCAAACUAAAGCUUCAUCCAUUUCCAAAUCUCCAUUGCUGUCUCUGGAAUGGGCAACCAAGCGUGAUCGUCUGCUACUGCUUGGCAGUGGGGUUGGGACGGUUCGUCUUUAUGACACAGAAGCAAAGAAGAAUCUCUGUGAAAUCAGCAUUGAUGAAGACAUGCCCAGGAUCCUCUCGCUUGCCUGCAGCCCAAGUGGUGCCUCGUUUGUCUGUUCUGCAGCAGCCCAGAGCCCCAUCUCCCACAUGGACUUCUCAGCAGUCAGUUCUGGGGGCAGAAGCAUGAACCAAGUUCCUGGGAAGCUGCUGCUGUGGGACACUAAAACAAUGAAGCAGCAGCUGCAGUUCUCUCUGGAGCCUGAGCCCAUUGCUAUUAACUGCACAGCCUUCAACCACAAUGGCAACCUGCUGGUCACCGGUGCUGCAGAUGGGAUUGUUCGUCUUUUUGGUAUGGUGGAAAAGGACCUGGGGGUGUUGGUGGACAGGCGGCUGAACAUGAGCCAGCUUGUGCCCAGGCAGCCAAGAAGGCCAAUGGCAUCCUGGCCUGUAUGAGCACCAGUGUGGCCAGCAGGGCCAGGGCAGUGAUCAUCCAUCCCCCUGUGCUCAGCACUGGUGAGGCUGCACCUUGAACACUGUGUUCAGCUCUGGGCCCCUCACUGCAACAGAGACAUUGAGGUGCUGGAGCGGGGCCAGAGAAGGGCAACGAAGCUGGUGAAGGGCCUGGAGCACGAGUCUGAUGAGGAACGACUGAGGGACCUGGGGUUGUUUAGUCUGGGGAAGAGAAGGCUCAGGGGGGACCUUAUCGCUCUCUACAACUACCUGAAAGGAGGUUGUAGUGAGGUGGGUGUUGUUCUUUGCUCCCAAGUAACAAGUGAUAGGACAAGAGGAAGUGUCCUCAAGCUGAGCCGGGGAGGCUUAGAUUGGAUAUUAGGAAAAAUUUCUUCACCGAAAGGAUCAUCAAGCAUUGGAACAGGCUGCCCAUGGAAGUGGUGGAGUUGCCAUCCCUGGAGAUAUGCAGCAGCAUGAGUGCGCCAUGAGCUGGAAGGCACACGAUGGGGAAGUCUACUCCGUUGAGUUCAGCUGUGAUGAGAACACAGUCUACAGCAUAGGCGAGGAUGGCAAGUUUAUUCAGUGGAAUAUUCACAGAAGUGGCUUGAAGGUGUCUGAGUACCAUCUUCCCAGCGAAGCUACAGGUCCUUUCAUUCUGUCUGGGUACAGUGGCUACAAGCAAGUCCAGUUCCCACGAGGAAGGCUUUUUGCUUUUGACUCUGAGGGCAACUAUAUGUUGACGUGUUCUUCCACUGGGGGAGUAAUUUUUAAGUUGAAUGGUGAGGAAAAGGUUCUGGAGAGCUGCCUUUCCCUGGGAGGACACAGAGCUCCCGUUGUCACAGUGGAUUGGAGCACGGCCAUGGACUGCGGGACCUGCCUCACUGCCUCUAUGGAUGGGAAGAUUAAAUUAACAACCUUACUGGCUCAAAAGUCUUAACCUGGAUAGUACUGAAGGGAAAGAGCAACAGACUUGACAGAAACAGUGUUAACUCCACAGGAACAAACUGCAUGGGAGAGAGAAGGCAAACCGCAGUCCCUCUUCUCUUUGUAGCUUUUGUCUCUUGACAAACGUUAAAUACAUUUGCCAAACCACUGUGCAAUAGAGUGCCGGUAUGGGACCAAAUCAGUGGCAGCACUGAAAAAUAAAGUCUCCACUGACCCAUUAUGGCAGCUGCGCUCCCUCCGCUGGGGAGUCUUGAGUAAGCACAUGGGUAGAAGGCUUGGUGUCUGCGAAGGUUGUUGCCACCUUUGUGCUUGGCGAUGCUGGAUACAGUCUGCAGUUGUUCAUCUGUUGCAGACACAAUUACAGCUAAGAUGAGGUCGGACUCAGGCAAAAGGUUCAUGAAAGCAGGCAGGAGCUCUGUCCAAAUAAAACCAGGCCUGCAGUGUGAAA